CCCCGGUAAACGGCGGCCGUAACUAUAACGGUCCUAAGGUAGCGAAAUUCCUUGUCGGGUAAGUUCCGACCUGCACGAAUGGCGUAAUGAUGGCCAGGCUGUCUCCACCCGAGACUCAGUGAAAUUGAACUCGCUGUGAAGAUGCAGUGUACCCGCGGCAAGACGGAAAGACCCCGUGAACCUUUACUAUAGCUUGACACUGAACAUUGAGCCUUGAUGUGUAGGAUAGGUGGGAGGCUUUGAAGUGUGGACGCCAGUCUGCAUGGAGCCGACCUUGAAAUACCACCCUUUAAUGUUUGAUGUUCUAACGUGGACCCGUAAUCCGGGUUGCGGACAGUGUCUGGUGGGUAGUUUGACUGGGGCGGUCUCCUCCUAAAGAGUAACGGAGGAGCACGAAGGUUGGCUAAUCCUGGUCGGACAUCAGGAGGUUAGUGCAAUGGCAUAAGCCAGCUUGACUGCGAGCGUGACGGCGCGAGCAGGUGCGAAAGCAGGUCAUAGUGAUCCGGUGGUUCUGAAUGGAAGGGCCAUCGCUCAACGGAUAAAAGGUACUCCGGGGAUAACAGGCUGAUACCGCCCAAGAGUUCAUAUCGACGGCGGUGUUUGGCACCUCGAUGUCGGCUCAUCACAUCCUGGGGCUGAAGUAGGUCCCAAGGGUAUGGCUGUUCGCCAUUUAAAGUGGUACGCGAGCUGGGUUUAGAACGUCGUGAGACAGUUCGGUCCCUAUCUGCCGUGGGCGCUGGAGAACUGAGGGGGGCUGCUCCUAGUACGAGAGGACCGGAGUGGACGCAUCACUGGUGUUCGGGUUGUCAUGCCAAUGGCACUGCCCGGUAGCUAAAUGCGGAAGAGAUAAGUGCUGAAAGCAUCUAAGCACGAAACUUGCCCCGAGAUGAGUUCUCCCUGAGACUUAGAGUCUCCUGAAGGAACGUUGAAGACGACGACGUUGAUAGGCCG
Molecule: ribosomal RNA, 951 nt
Filed under: Salmonella enterica
Lineage: Bacteria; Pseudomonadati; Pseudomonadota; Gammaproteobacteria; Enterobacterales; Enterobacteriaceae
Also listed under: 1 other name
Description: partial 23S ribosomal RNA
Rfam family: Bacterial large subunit ribosomal RNA
Source: RNAcentral